Molecule: ribosomal RNA, 460 nt
Filed under: uncultured bacterium
Lineage: Bacteria
Description: partial 16S ribosomal RNA
Rfam family: Bacterial small subunit ribosomal RNA
Source: RNAcentral
CCUACGGGAGGCAGCAGUGAGGAAUAUUGGUCAAUGGGCGCGAGCCUGAACCAGCCAAGUAGCGUGAAGGAUGACUGCCCUACGGGUUGUAAACUUCUUUUAUAAAGGAAUAAAGUGAGGCACGUGUGCCUUUUUGUAUGUAUUUUAUGAAUAAGGAUCGGCUAACUCCGUGCCAUCAGCCGCGGUAAUACGGAGGAUCCGAGCGUUAUCCUGAUUUAUUGGGUUUAAAGGGAACGUAGAUGGGGUGUUAAGUCAGUUGUGAAAGUUUGGGGCUCAACCGUAAAAGUGCAAUUGAUACUGGCAGACUUGAGUACAGUUGAGGGAGGCGGAAUUCGUGGUGUAGCGGUGAAAUGCUUAGAUAUCACGAAGAACUCCGAUUGCGAAGGCAGCCUACUAAACUGCCACUGACAUUGAUGCGCGAAAGUGUGGGUAUCAAACAGGAUUAGAGACCCGAGUAGUC